AUACGUAGGGUGCGAGCGUUGUCCGGAAUGAUUGGGCGUAAAGGGCGCGUAGGCGGCCCGGUAAGUCUGGAGUGAAAGUCCUGUUUUUAAGAUGGGAAUUGCUUUGGAUACUGUCGGGCUUGAGUGCAGGAGAGGUAAGUGGAAUUCCCAGUGUAGCGGUGAAAUGCGUAGAGAUUGGGAGGAACACCAGUGGCGAAGGCGACUUACUGGACUGUAACUGACGCUGAGGCGCGAAAGUGUGGGGAGCAAACAGGAUUAGAUACCCUGGUAGUCCACACGGUAAACGAUGAAUGCUAGGUGUAGGGGGUAUCGACCCAUUCUGUGCCGCAGUCAACACAAUAAGCAUUCCGCCUGGGGAGUACGGCCGCAAGGUUGAAACUCAAAUGAAUUGACGGGG
This 397-nucleotide ribosomal RNA is filed under the name uncultured bacterium. RNAcentral describes it as "partial 16S ribosomal RNA". It matches the Rfam family "Bacterial small subunit ribosomal RNA", at positions 523 to 918 of the family's 1533-position model. The record is from RNAcentral.